CAACCUGCCGUCUACUCUUGGACAGCCUUCUGAAAGGAAGAUUAAUACAAGAUGGCAUCAUGAGUUCACAUGUUCACAUGAUUAAAGGUAUUCCGGUAGACGAUGGGGAUGCGUUCCAUUAGAUAGUAGGCGGGGUAACGGCCCACCUAGUCUUCGAUGGAUAGGGGUUCUGAGAGGAAGGUCCCCCACAUUGGAACUGAGACACGGUCCAAACUCCUACGGGAGGCAGCAGUGAGGAAUAUUGGUCAAUGGGCGAGAGCCUGAACCAGCCAAGUAGCGUGAAGGAUGACUGCCCUAUGGGUUGUAAACUUCUUUUAUAAAGGGAUAAAGUCGGGUAUGUAUACCCGUUUGCAUGUACUUUAUGAAUAAGGAUCGGCUAACUCCGUGCCAGCAGCCGCGGUAAUACGGAGGAUCCGAGCGUUAUCCGGAUUUAUUGGGUUUAAAGGGAGCGUAGAUGGAUGUUUAAGUCAGUUGUGAAAGUUUGCGGCUCAACCGUAAAAUUGCAGUUGAUACUGGAUAUCUUGAGUGCAGUUGAGGCAGGCGGAAUUCGUGGUGUAGCGGUGAAAUGCUUAGAUAUCACGAAGAACUCCGAUUG
Molecule: ribosomal RNA, 595 nt
Filed under: uncultured Bacteroidota bacterium
Lineage: Bacteria; Pseudomonadati; Bacteroidota
Description: bacterial SSU rRNA
Rfam family: Bacterial small subunit ribosomal RNA
Source: RNAcentral